Long non-coding RNA from Lactuca sativa (garden lettuce), 446 nucleotides. RefSeq lists it as uncharacterized. NCBI's taxonomy places the organism in Eukaryota, Viridiplantae, Streptophyta, Magnoliopsida, Asterales, Asteraceae. The record is from RefSeq and is a predicted model, not a curated record.
CUUCCCUCCUCUAAAACCACGACAUAAAAAUAGAGUAAACAAGAAGAAACAAACUUCAAUCUUAUUUUUUUUGCUCCAUCAUUGAACAUGAUAUCUUGUGGUGGCCAGUCGAUAACUGCUUUGGUGGUGCAAUCGCUAGUGAGGCUGGUGGUGAUGAUGGCGGAAGAACCGGCGGCAUCAGUCACAACCAUCCUUUACCGCAGCGGUAUUCUUCCUCAAAACACCAUUCUUGGGCGGUUUGUUCAUCAUGGUCGAUUCCUUGAUGACAACAAUAUCUUCUUUAAUUUUAUUGUUCAUUUCUUGAGAUGUUUAUGGUAGAGAAUACACUUUCCGACACCUUACGUUUAUAGAUUUGUCAUGUUAUUUACACGCGCUUUUUAGAACUCUGAGUUGUUGAACUCCGAGUGUUAAUUAUUUUGCACAUCAACUGCUAGGUUGAAAACAAA